RNAcentral lists this ribosomal RNA (253 nucleotides) under uncultured bacterium. RNAcentral describes it as "partial 16S ribosomal RNA". It matches the Rfam family "Bacterial small subunit ribosomal RNA", at positions 524 to 776 of the family's 1533-position model. The record is from RNAcentral.
UACGUAGGGUGCAAGCGUUGUCCGGAAUUAUUGGGCGUAAAGAGCUCGUAGGCGGUUUGUCGCGUCUGCUGUGAAAACUCGGGGCUUAACCCCGGGCCUGCAGUGGGUACGGGCAGACUAGAGUGCGGUAGGGGAGACUGGAAUUCCUGGUGUAGCGGUGAAAUGCGCAGAUAUCAGGAGGAACACCGGUGGCGAAGGCGGGUCUCUGGGCAGUUCCUGACGCUGAGGCACGAAGGUCAGGGGAGCAAACGGG